This 253-nucleotide ribosomal RNA is filed under the name uncultured bacterium. RNAcentral's name for it is "partial 16S ribosomal RNA". It matches the Rfam family "Bacterial small subunit ribosomal RNA", at positions 524 to 776 of the family's 1533-position model. The record is from RNAcentral.
UACGUAGGUGACAAGCGUUGUCCGGAUUUACUGGGCGUAAAGAGCGCGCAGGCGGUCGAUCAAGUCGAGUGUGAAAGCCCCCGGCUCAACUGGGGAGGGUCAUUCGAUACUGAUCGACUCGAAGGCAGGAGAGGGUAGUGGAAUUCCCGGUGUAGUGGUGAAAUGCGUAGAUAUCGAGAGGAACACCUGCGGCGAAGGCGGGUUGCUGGGCCGUAACUGACGCUGAGGAGCGAAAGCAUGGGGAGCGAACAGG